AUGAUAAGUACACCCUCACCUCACCUACCUUGUUCAGAACCAGAGCGUGAGAUUUCAAGUAUGUUGCCAGCCAUUGAGGAGCCCCUUGUUGGGGGCAGCAGCAGCACCGAGGAGAGCUUGGUGGUGACCGAGGUUAAGAAGCAGCUGUACCUCGCCGGGCCCCUCAUCGCCGGAUGCCUGCUGCAGAACGUCGUGCAGAUGAUAUCGGUCAUGUUUGUCGGCCAUCUCGGCGAGCUCGCUCUCUCGAGUGCCUCCAUCGCCACCUCCUUUGCCGGUGUUACCGGCUUCAGCUUGUUGUCUGGCAUGGCGAGCAGCUUGGACACACUGUGUGGGCAAGCCUUUGGAGCAAAACGGUACCAUCUGCUCGGCAUCUACAAGCAGAGGGCCAUCCUUGUGCUCACUCUGGUGAGCGUUGUGGUUGCGGUGCUCUGGGCGUACACCGGGCAGAUCCUCCUGCUCUUCGGCCAGGACCCGGAUAUUGCCAUGGGGGCAGGGAGCUACAUCCGGUGGAUGAUUCCAGCUCUGUUCGCUUACGGACUGCUGCAGUGCCACGUCCGGUUCCUCCAGACACAGAACAUCGUCCUUCCGGUGAUGGCGAGCGCAGGCGUCACGGCACUAAGCCACGUGCUUGUGUGCUGGUUGCUGGUUUACAGGCUUGGACUGGGCAACAAGGGUGCUGCCCUGGCCAAUGGCAUCUCCUACCUGGCCAAUGUCUCUAUCUUGGCUCUCUACAUCAGGGUCUCUCCAUCCUGCAGGAGCACCUGGACAGGCCUCUCAAAGGAGGCAUUUCGCGACAUCCUUAGCUUCAUGAAGCUUGCCGUGCCAUCUGCGCUCAUGGUUUGCCUAGAGUGGUGGUCGUUUGAGCUGCUGGUACUUCUCUCUGGACUUCUCCAUAAUCCUAAGCUCGAAGCAUCGGUGUUGUCCAUUUGCCUAAAUACAAGUUCAUUGGCAUUCAUGAUCUCCUUGGGGCUUGGGGCAGCCAUAAGCACCCGUGUUUCAAACGAGCUUGGUGCUGGGCGACCUGAAGCUGCCCGCUUGGCUACUCGUGUGAUCAUGGUUCUGGGUCUCACGGCGGGUCUAUCAUUAGGACUUAUUAUGAUUUCGGUACGCAAUUUAUGGGGGUAUGCAUACAGCAACGAGAAGGAAGUGGUGGAAUACAUUGCAAGAAUGAUGCCGCUUCUUUCCGUGUCAAUCAUCUUCGACAAUCUGCAAUGUGUCCUUUCAGGUAUUGUUAGGGGCUGUGGCUUGCAAAAGGUUGGUGCUUGUGUCAAUCUCAGCGCAUAUUACCUUGUCGGCAUUCCAGCGGCGCUAUGCUUUGCCUUUGUCUACCAUCUUGGCGGAAUGGGGCUGUGGUUCGGAAUAAUCUGUGGGAUAGUGGUACAGAUGCUGCUGCUGCUGGGCAUCACCAUGCGCACCAACUGGGAUAAAGAGGCUCUCAAGGCAAAGGGCAGAGUUUUCAGUUCGUCCCGGCCUCUAGACAUGACGACAUGA
This 1491-nucleotide ribosomal RNA is filed under the name Triticum aestivum (bread wheat). RNAcentral describes it as "partial small subunit ribosomal RNA". The record is from RNAcentral. Lineage: Eukaryota; Viridiplantae; Streptophyta; Magnoliopsida; Poales; Poaceae.